CCUAUUGGCUAUCUAGAGUUAAAUAUUUUCUUCAUCUUCCAGAGGAAAAAUGAAUUAUCCUGAACCAAUGUGUGCUACAGCGUGUAUGACUAUGUGUAUGUGUGUUUGUUGCGAAGACAAAAUACAAACAGUGAGAGAAGAUAUUCUCAUUUGUUUUUCAUUCCAGUUCUUAAAUGAUAUUUUAGGAAGCAAUCAUAAUAAAGAGGACCUGAAGGAGCUGAAGAAAUUAUUUCUCAGUUAGACGGCAGCCUGCUGUUAUCUCUAAUCUAAGAGGCACUGGAUAGAGGUCAUCUUUUGAUCAGAGGGACCGACUGGAAGAUUAACAGGGGCUGCGGGGAUCUUGCCCACCCUCAGGCAGCGUGAGCGCACUGAGCCCCACAGCGCAUUCAGCAUCUGCUGAAUCAAGCCCCAGAGCUUUGCUGGACCCCCCUUUCGGGACGGCGCUCACCUGGAAAAUCCACUGCGGACACGGCACAACAGCCUGUUUCCCACGGGAUGGUUCGAAGCGGUCCUUCGGGGCACAGGCAAGCGGGGGCACCGGGAAGGCUGGUCUCCCCACGUGUCGCGGGGCAGCGCGGGAGCAGAGCAGCUCCUCUCUCCGUGUCCUGCGCUGGGAAGGCUGCGUUGGGAGCACAACUUUCUUUGUUUUCCAUAUCUUCUGCGCAGUUCUGGGGGAGCCCAGCAGUUAUCAGAUCUACGCAUUGGGAAAAAAAUCCUCUACAAGCAAAUACCCCAGGUGUAACACCAUGCUGUGAAAUACAUAGAACUAAGGGGAGAUUCUGGUCCCGUGCUGGUCCUCAGCCCUACGGUCACUUAUCCGGGAGGUUUGGCACGAGUGAUACGUUUUCAAGGGCUUGCUCUGAAUCAAGAACGGACACUAUCCCUCCCAUACACUGA
This 897-nucleotide long non-coding RNA is filed under the name Dromaius novaehollandiae (emu). Its description in RNAcentral is "lncRNA (ENSDNVG00000014418.1)". The record is from RNAcentral. Lineage: Eukaryota; Metazoa; Chordata; Aves; Casuariiformes; Dromaiidae.